RNAcentral lists this ribosomal RNA (537 nucleotides) under uncultured bacterium. RNAcentral's name for it is "partial 16S ribosomal RNA". It matches the Rfam family "Bacterial small subunit ribosomal RNA", at positions 355 to 900 of the family's 1533-position model. The record is from RNAcentral.
UGGGGAAUAUUGCACAAUGGGCGAAAGCCUGAUGCAGCGACGCCGCGUGCGGGAUGAAGGCCUUCGGGUUGUAAACCGCUUUUGAUUGGGAGCAAGCGAGAGUGAGUGUACCUUUCGAAUAAGCACCGGCUAACUACGUGCCAGCAGCCGCGGUAAUACGUAGGGUGCAAGCGUUAUCCGGAAUUAUUGGGCGUAAAGAGCUCGUAGGCGGUUUGUCGCGUCUGGUGUGAAAGUCCAUCGCUUAACGGUGGAUCUGCGCCGGGUACGGGCAGGCUAGAGUGCGACAGGGGAGACUGGAAUUCCCGGUGUAACGGUGGAAUGUGUAGAUAUCGGGAAGAACACCAAUGGCGAAGGCAGGUCUCUGGGUCGUCACUGACGCUGAGGAGCGAAAAGCGUGGGGAGCGAACAGGAUUAGAUACCCUGGUAGUCCACGCCGUAAACGGUGGAUGCUGGAUGUGGGGCCCAUUCCACGGGUUCCGUGUCGGAGCUAACGCGUUAAGCAUCCCGCCUGGGGAGUACGGCCGCAAGGCUAAAAAC